Non-coding RNA from Rattus norvegicus (Norway rat), 67 nucleotides. NCBI's taxonomy places the organism in Eukaryota, Metazoa, Chordata, Mammalia, Rodentia, Muridae. The record is from Rfam.
GGAUUUAGCUCAGCGGUAGAGCACUUGCCUAGCAAGCGCAAGGCCCUGGGUUCGGUCCCCAGAUCCG